RNAcentral lists this ribosomal RNA (771 nucleotides) under uncultured bacterium. Its description in RNAcentral is "bacterial SSU rRNA". It matches the Rfam family "Bacterial small subunit ribosomal RNA", at positions 8 to 796 of the family's 1533-position model. The record is from RNAcentral.
AGAGUUUGAUCAUGGCUCAGAAUGAACGUUGGCGGCGUGGAUUAGGCAUGCAAGUCGUACGGGCCGCAAGGCCAGUGGCGCAAGGGUGAGUAAGGCGACGGUAACCAACCCCAUGACUGGGUAUAGCCGCGGGAAACUGCGGGUAAUCCCCAGCGACGUCCCGGGGGGGCAUCCCCUCAGGACCAAAGCUCCGGCGUCGUGGGACGGGCUGUCGUGGUAUUAGGUUGUUGGCGGGGUAACGGCCCACCAAGCCUGCGAUGCCUACCGGGCGUGCGAGCGUGGCCCGGCACACUGGGACUGAGACACUGCCCAGACUCCUACGGGAGGCUGCAGUCGAGAAUCUUCGGCAAUGGGCGCAAGCCUGACCGAGCGACGCCGCGUGGAGGACGAAGGCCUUCGGGUUGUAAACUCCUGUCGAGGGGGAAGAAGGCCGGGUAACCGGCUUGACUGAUCCCUGGAGGAAGCACGGGCUAAGUUCGUGCCAGCAGCCGCGGUAAGACGAACCGUGCGAACGUUAUUCGGAAUCACUGGGCUUAAAGCGCGUGUAGGCGGGACGGCACGUCGGUCGCUGAAAUCCCCCGGCUCAACCGGGGAACGGGCGCCGAUACGACCGUCCUGGAGGGACGUAGGGGGACCUGGAACUUCCGGUGGAGCGGUGAAAUGCGUUGAGAUCGGAAGGAACGCCCGUGGCGAAAGCGAGGUCCUGGACGUUUUCUGACGCUGAGACGCGAAAGCCAGGGGAGCGAACGGGAUUAGAUACCCCAGUAGUCC